Molecule: ribosomal RNA, 437 nt
Filed under: uncultured Oscillospiraceae bacterium
Lineage: Bacteria; Bacillati; Bacillota; Clostridia; Eubacteriales; Oscillospiraceae
Description: partial 16S ribosomal RNA
Rfam family: Bacterial small subunit ribosomal RNA
Source: RNAcentral
ACGGGAGGCAGCAGUGGGGAAUAUUGGGCAAUGGGCGAAAGCCUGACCCAGCAACGCCGCGUGAAGGAAGAAGGUUUUCGGAUUGUAAACUUCUUUUAUCAGGGACGAAGGAAGUGACGGUACCUGAUGAAUAAGCCACGGCUAACUACGUGCCAGCAGCCGCGGUAAUACGUAGGUGGCAAGCGUUAUCCGGAUUUACUGGGUGUAAAGGGCGCGUAGGCGGGGAUGCAAGUCAGAUGUGAAAUACAUGGGCUUAACCCAUGAACUGCAUUUGAAACUGUAUCUCUUGAGUGUCGGAGAGGUAGGCGGAAUUCCUAGUGUAGCGGUGAAGUGCGUAGAUAUUAGGAGUAACACCAGUGGCGAAGGCGGUCUACUGGACGAUAACUGACGCUGAGGCGCGAAAGCGUGGGGAGCAAACAGGAUUAGAUACCCUGGUA